GCAACGCGAAGAACCUUACCAGGUCUUGACAUCUCCUGACAAUCCUAGAGAUAGGACGUUCCCCUUCGGGGGACAGGAUGACAGGUGGUGCAUGGUUGUCGUCAGCUCGUGUCGUGAGAUGUUGGGCUAAGUCCCGCAACGAGCGCAACCCUUGAUCUUAGUUGCCAGCAUUCAGUUGGGCACUCUAAGGUGACUGCCGGUGACAAACCGGAGGAAGGUGGGGAUGACGUCAAAUCAUCAUGCCCCUUAUGACCUGGGCUACACACGUGCUACAAUGGAUGGUACAAAGGGCUGCAAAACCGUGAGGUCGAGCGAAUCCCAUAAAACCAUUCUCAGUUCGGAUUGUAGGCUGCAACUCGCCUACAUGAAGCUGGAAUCGCUAGUAAUCGCGGAUCAGCAUGCCGCGGUGAAUACGUUCCCGGGUCUUGUACACACCGCCCGUCACACCACGAGAGUUUGUAACACCCGAAGUCGGUGGGGUAACCGUAAGGAGCCAGCCGCCUAAGGUGGGACA
This 514-nucleotide ribosomal RNA is filed under the name uncultured bacterium. Its description in RNAcentral is "bacterial SSU rRNA". It matches the Rfam family "Bacterial small subunit ribosomal RNA", at positions 956 to 1469 of the family's 1533-position model. The record is from RNAcentral.